This 2094-nucleotide long non-coding RNA is filed under the name Mytilus galloprovincialis (Mediterranean mussel). Lineage: Eukaryota; Metazoa; Mollusca; Bivalvia; Mytilida; Mytilidae. The record is from RNAcentral.
UUUUCUUUUUUAUAUAUAAUUAAUAAAAAGUGUUCAAUAUAAAGAUGGCAUUUAUCCUUCUUGAUACUUUUUGCAAUCAUACUGUUAAUUUGUGUAAAAGACGUAUAAAUAUUGAGAUAUUUUCUUGCCAUUAUCAUGUAACCAAUCAAACAGUAUCAUUUGAUAUGUUGUUUUUUUUUUAAUAUUAAGCAUACUUGAACAAGAGGGAAUCAAAUAUACUAAAAAGGUGAAAAUAUUCCUAUACAAGUUGAAGGACAAAGAAAACAAAAAAAUGUUAAAAUGUUGUAAAAUCUAUUGAUUCUAAAAUAUCAUUUGACGAAGUUAGAAAUCAAUAUCAGAAGAAAACAAAAAAAAUACAUAUAUAUCCAGUAAGUUGUUGCCAAGAUGUUCAUUUCUUUAAAAACAUUUUUUUUGUAGAUGGUAAUAUUUAAAUAAUAAUGGGUCCAAGUAAUUUUGAAUAUUUAUUGUAAAUUGUAUUUUUAUAUCAAUUGAUAUCUUAUUUACUUAUCUAUUUGGGUUUCCUUUUAUAGUAAAGCGUAUUUUCAUAUAUAAGUUGAAAUAAGUUCUAGUACAUGUAGUUCUUUUUGGGCUUCCUUUACAAGUAUACAGCUUAGUGAUAGGUGGCAGUUUAUUUUUAUGCUAUAUAUCUUUAUUGGCAUGUAUGUCAUGUAGGUUAGGUACAGUUAGUGACAAGUUUUGUAAAAGUUAUUAUUCUGUUAGGUCAUUUACUCAUCUUUUUUACAAUUUAAUCAUUUAAACCACAUUUUUUUUGUUAAAAUUUGAUACCAUAUCAUGUAUAUAUUUUGUAUUAUGCUGAACUGCUUUACAGCACAUGUUUUCUACUAAUUUUAUUUUAUUCUAAGGAACAAAGUAGAUUGAGAUUAAUUAUUUAACACCUUUCAGAGUAUUUUGUUAAAAAGAAGUAAAUAGAAUUUAUACCAAACCUAAGGAAAUUAUGUCAUGUUUAAGUUUGGUAAAGAGUUCAGAAAAGACUUGUUUCACUGUUGUAUGAGGCUCCCGCAGGGUCAAAUACGACCUGCGACCUAUGGGCUUUUAGAGGGACUUCCGACCUGAGGGCCUCCAUAAACGACCUGCGACCUGUAAAAUUUAGAAAAAACAACCUCCAACCGACUUCCGUCCUCUGUGUUGGGGAAAAAAAGACCUGCGACCUGUACAUUUCCCUUAAAAACGACCUCUCUUCGAAUUUAAAAGCGACCUUGCGACCUGAGGUACCUUGUGGGAGCCUCUUGUAUGUAACAAAUAAAACCAUACCAGAUCAGAUUAGAAAUUCAAAUGUUUGAUUCUGGGUAUUAGGUUGAGAAAUGUAAUCAAUGUAACCACAUAAUAUAUACUGCUGUUACGUUAUAUGUUAGAAAUGCUUAUUUCACCAAUAGCAAACUCAUAUGUUAUCUGUAACGGCAGCUUUGUAAUAUUUGUAUACACUUCAGGAAUUCUAGGGUUAAAAUUUUACUAUGUUAUAUGCAAAAUGUUAUGAAAAUAUGCUAGCUGUGCAAUAGAUGGAUGUAACUUUUGUCUGUUUUUCUUUAUUUAUUGAAUAUUUAGUAAUAGAAACUAAUUUUAAAGUCUAUAAAUAAAUAUCACAAUAUUGAAAGUUCCUUAUUACUUUAAAAAGUUAUAGAUGAUAUGGGUCUUUUUGUGAGAAUCAUUCGUUUUUAAUUUAAUUUAGAUUAUGGGGAUAAGCAUGACACCUUUACAAUAACUCUGUACUGGUUGAUAAUUUAAUCUGAAAAAAAACCAUCAUAUACUCAUUAGUUGUAGUUAGCUUUGAAUUAGUUUUCAGUAACUGCAAGUACUCUUAUAUCCGUACUUUGUUCCCAAUGUUUUUAAGUUAGUUGGUAUGUUUUGCUUAGAGCCAAUAUAAAUGAGUAAAACCAUUUGCAAAUGAUUUUUAAAUGUUCUUUUUAGACUGGAUAUAUUAUGGUAUAUGAUUUAUGACUUUUGAACAGUGGUAUACUACUGUUGCCUUUAUAUACCAAUAUCCAUUUAUUGGUCUGUCCUUCAAACACUUUGUACGAUAACUCAAGUUUGUUUCAUCCGAAUUCUCAUGUAAUUUUAAGACAGAAGAAAGCUACC